UUCAAGCUUUAAGUUUUAAUCAGCCCUGUUUUUCCUUGCUUUCUCGCUACCUCCUCUCCUGUUGUGUGAUCUGAUUGCAUAGACAUCUGUGCUGUUCCCCUCUUUUCUCAGUCUUUCGGGUCAGGUCAGGCAGAUGCGUCUCCCUGCUGGUUACUUUAGACCUUAUUCUUUUUGAUGGAGGCCUUUUCUCAGACCAGGUUAACUAUUUCUUCUGUUCCCAGGCACAGAGCUCUUUGAUGGGACUUUCUUCUACCCACCACUCAUCACCCUACCCACUUUCCACAGCCGCCCAGGGAGGCUGGGUAAACAAGGACGCGGGUUCUGCCAAUUUGUUCUUACAAAACAUAGGGAUUUGGGGGCCUGCGGCCUCCCUUAUACAAACAUAAAUGCCCAGUCCUCAAUUCCUCUUGUAGCUCACAAACUCCAAGCUCCAAGAGACCUUUUGAGGCAAAACAGUUUGUCAAUGGAAUUUUGGAGGAAAAGGCAGGAGGACCUGCGAUUUUGGCUGAAUAUAAAGAACAUGGCAAACUCACAGACUCAACACGGCGACACUUAGUCAAUAUUCUAGUUGCAUACAUAACUGACAAAUAAGCGUAAGCCACAGUUAAAUCGAACAAUUACAUUUCUGUAAUUUUAGUAAAUCAUUUAAUGUUGUAACUACUCCCACGUGUUCUUCUCAAAGACGCAUCCCUUCCAAAGAAACAAAAAUGUGUUGUGCUUUGGGAAUUGUAACACUAUUCCCAUCACUCAACAACUGGAUAUGUAAGUACUGAAAGCUUUUCUCAUUGUGCUAAAAUACUUAAUGAAAGAUUUUAAAAUGGAGUGUUGUAGAAUAUUUCAGGCUUUGAGCAAACAGCCAAGACUCUUGUCACUGUUGCUGUAAGUCUAUUACAUUUUGUACAAGCAUUUGCUCACUAAUGCCUAGUAUAUAGAAAAGUUCAGAUUUGUUAAAUGUUUGGAUUGAUCUACAAUCUUUUUGUUUUUUGUAAAGGAACAUUCCUAUGACCCCAAGAGCAAUCAAGGAUACGUAUCUUGGUGGCUGAAAACAGUCUCACGGCAAAGCAAACACCACAGCAAACAGGAUGCCAGGUCAAGUGGAACAUCAGAAACUGAGGGCAGUGGAGGUCCCACUGCUCAUAGAGCCACUUGGAACCACUUGGAGCAGCAGUUGGAGGGUGACCAAUGCAAGGAUGCGAUAUCUUUUAUGAAUCAUUGUACAUACAAGGACCAGAUUUUUGAGAAGAUGAAAGUAACAUUCAAGAAUCGGCAGCAGCUUACCCAUGAUGCAGUAAAGUCCAACAUGGUGCUUUCAGUUUUUCCACGAUUUCUUGAUACUAAAGGAUUGGUACUUCAAGACUUUCACAUCAAAUUUGGCACUGAAACAGCUUCUUGAACAAUGGGACGGUCUAAAGCCCAAGAUCAUCUCAGAGGCCAAAACCCUUACUUCCAACUUGCAUCUCAACAGCCUGCUUGCAGCUGUACAGGGCAACGGACAAAACAACAAGCCUGAAUGGCAAGGAUGGGACAGCGACAUAUCCUCUUCUUGCCACCUUCAACUGGUGGUAGGAACAAAUCCACCAAGAUAAGCAUCCAGGAGGCUAUGGACUAUAUCGUGUAGUUUCACAAGUCUUGCCGCAGUCUAACUGAACACAUUGAGAAGACUGAGGGUCUUCAACCACAUCUCAUUGCAGUUGGCUCUGCAAAGGACAACAUCCACAAUGUCUAUAUCGUGUUGGAUGGACAACUCAUCCCAUGCCAGGCAAAGUCUUCCCUUGCUGCUUUUGAUGAACUUUUUAAAGCAUAUUAUAUAAAGCUGUUGUUGACCCUACAGAGAUAAAGUUAGGGGUAAUAUUUGAUAGUAGAUUGAACCGGGUGACACGCACAUACGAUCAAGUCCCUGUAACUGACAAAUUCAUUUACAUUCCCCUGUUAAGACACUUUGCAUUUUAUAUUUAGGAAUUCAGAGAUAUGUAAACAUAUGUCAAAUCCAAGUGAGAGUAGCACUGUCUAUAAAGAUUUUUGUGAUGGAAGUUAUUAUAAAAGUCACCCACUAUUCAGUAAAAAAACAAAAUGCACUUCAGAUACAGUUAUUUUAUGAUGAAUUUGAAUUUGCUAAUACCCUGGGCUCUAAGCAAGGCAUCCACAAAAUCAGAGCCAUUUACUUUAUUCUCAGGAACUUUACACCAAAAAUGAGUUCAAGUUUAAUGAAUAUUCAUUUACUGUCAUUAUUCCAUGCACAAGAUAUUAAGAAUUACGGAUUUGACGCAAUUUUGCGGCCCCUUGUUGAAGAUUUGAAAGUCCUUGAAAGUUCAGGAAUUCAAGUUCCUUUCUCCAAAGAGCCAUUCUUUGGCACAAUUGCCCAGGUUACAGGGGAUAACUUAGGCAUACACACACUUUUUGGAUUCAUGGAAUCUUUCAGUGCCCAUUACUUCUGUCAGUUCUGUUUAGUAGACAAGAAAACAUCGCAGUCAGUUUUCAGUGAAGAUCACACUAAUAUUAUAUUACGAAACAAAGUUUUACAAUAUAAUGCAUGAUAUCCUUGAGGGUGUUGGACAAUAUGAGAUAAAGUUACUUCUUGAAAAUCUCUCUGGCAUUAUAUCGAGACAAGAGAUUUAUAACAGAAUUUAUUCUUUCAAUUAUGGCUACUUGGAAAGAAAAAAUCGGCCUACUAGAUUAAAUCUAGAGAAGGCAAGGAAUGGUAUUGGACUGAAUGCCAUUCAGACAUUCUGUUUAAUUCUGAAUAUUCCUCUGAUAUUUGGAGACAUUGUUGAUGAGGGAAACAAACACUGGCACUUCUUAAUACUUUUGUUAUUGCAGAUCAUUAACAUAGUGUUUUCUUCUGUAGUUACAGAAGGUAUGACCUUAUUGUAGAUCAUCAUAGUCUCUUCAAAGAGUUAUAUCCACACAAGAAUUUGAUUCCAAAGCACCAUUACAUGUUACAUUAUCUGCGCUGCAUACGCAAGAUUGGUCCAUUAUUACAUGUAUGGCAAUGCGCUUCGAAGCUAAACACAAGUUUUUUUUAAAUAUACAAAAUUUCAAAAACAUCACAAAGUCUCUUGCGUUAAAACACCAGUAUGCAAUUGCUUAUCAUUGGGAAAGCAUGCCUGUUAGAAAUGUUGAAUAUGGGCCCUUGAUAACUCUGCAGGUUGAGGAUUUGCCUUACCAUGACAUUAUUCUUGAAAAGUAUCCACAUAUUUGGAAUGGUGACAUCACAGUAGCUUCAUGGUUAAGACAUUCUGGAACUGAAUAUCAUCAUGACCUACUGAUUUGCAAUAAAAUGGAGAAUGACCUACAGGUUUCAGUAAAAUUACUGAAAUUGUUCUAAUAGAUGACCAAAACAUUUUGGUGACUAAAGACUUUGAAACUGUAGGUUUUGUUGAGCACCUUCAUGCUUACCAUGUCAGAGAACAGAAUGUUUUUGGUCUGUCAAGAGUAGAGGAUCUUCCUUUUCAUCAUAUGGUUUUGAAGAACCAUAUUUGUAUAUUGUUCCAGUGCAUUGUUUUGUGCAUGAAGACCUUUAAUCUUCAUGCACCAAUUUCUUAUUUGUUGGAGAGCAGACAAGCUAAACUUUUUUUUCCCCCAUGAAUGUAAAAUUUAUUUUCAAAUUCAGUCCAAUUGAAUGGACACUUGACUGCUUUUAUUAGUAAAAGAAUAGUAUUGUUGCUUUUAUAAGGGCAUGUUCAUGUUUACCAUGUAAGAACAGAAUGUUUGAGAAUGUUUUUCUCUGUUAAAAGAGUGGAUAAGCUGCCCUUUUUCCGACAACCUUUGCUGAGUUAAAAACAUGUUAAAUGUUUUGUUUUUAUAUUUGAUAUUGUGCAAUUUUUAUAUACUGUCUUAUAUUCUUGUACUCAUUUCUGAUUUGUCAGAACAGAAGUUAAUGGAUUUGAAUGUUUGUUUGCAAAUUGCUAAUUGUUUAAUAUAUUGCUUUUAUCUCUGAAAAGAGUUUUCUC
Long non-coding RNA from Xyrauchen texanus (razorback sucker), 3950 nucleotides. RefSeq lists it as uncharacterized. The record is from RefSeq and is a predicted model, not a curated record. NCBI's taxonomy places the organism in Eukaryota, Metazoa, Chordata, Actinopteri, Cypriniformes, Catostomidae. The transcript has 6 exons.